CCCAGUGACUACGGGUUCAACGGCCGCGGUAUUUUGACCGUGCAAAGGUAGCGCAAUCACUUGUCUUUUAAAUAAAGACCUGUAUGAAUGGCUAGACGAGGGCUUAGCUGUCUCCCCCUUCCAGUCAGUGAAAUUGAUCUAUCCGUGCAGAAGCGGGUAUACCUCUACAAGACGAGAAGACCCUUUGGAGCUUAAGGUACAAAACUUAAUCACGUUAAACAACUUAACAGAGAGAUAAGAACUUAGUGAGACAUAAGAUUUUACCUUCGGUUGGGGCGACCACGGAGGAAAAACAAGCCUCCAAGAGGAAUGGGUUUAUACCCUAAAGCCUAGAGAAACCUCUCUACGCCGCAGAACAUCUGACCAGCAAUGAUCCGGCAUAAAGCCGAUCAACGGACCAAGUUACCCUAGGGAUAACAGCGCAAUCCUCUCCCAGAGUCCAUAUCGACGAGGGGGUUUACGACCUCGAUGUUGGAUCAGGACAUCCUAAUGGUGCAGCCGCUAUUAAGGGUUCGUUUGUUCAACGAUUAAAGUCCU
This 537-nucleotide ribosomal RNA is filed under the name Acheilognathus macropterus (deep body bitterling). RNAcentral's name for it is "partial 16S ribosomal RNA". It matches the Rfam family "Bacterial large subunit ribosomal RNA", at positions 1862 to 2597 of the family's 2925-position model. Lineage: Eukaryota; Metazoa; Chordata; Actinopteri; Cypriniformes; Acheilognathidae. The record is from RNAcentral.